RNAcentral lists this ribosomal RNA (404 nucleotides) under uncultured prokaryote. Its description in RNAcentral is "bacterial SSU rRNA". It matches the Rfam family "Bacterial small subunit ribosomal RNA", at positions 355 to 776 of the family's 1533-position model. RNAcentral also lists the same sequence under 1 other name. The record is from RNAcentral.
UGGGGAAUAUUGCACAAUGGGGGAAACCCUGAUGCAGCGACGCCGCGUGAAGGAAGAAGUAUCUCGGUAUGUAAACUUCUAUCAGCAGGGAAGAUGAUGACGGUACCUGACUAAGAAGCCCCGGCUAACUACGUGCCAGCAGCCGCGGUAAUACGUAGGGGGCAAGCGUUAUCCGGAUUUACUGGGUGUAAAGGGAGCGUAGACGGCAGAUCAAGUCUGAUGUGAAAGGCAGGGGCUUAACCCCUGGACUGCAUUGGAAACUGGUCAGCUGGAGUGCCGGAGGGGUAAGCGGAAUUCCUAGUGUAGCGGUGAAAUGCGUAGAUAUUAGGAGGAACACCAGUGGCGAAGGCGGCUUACUGGACGUGCACUGACGUUAAGGCUCGAAAGCGUGGGGAGCAAACAGG